GACGAACGCUGGCGGCGUGCCUAACACAUGCAAGUCGAACGAGAUCCAUGGGAGCUUGCUCCCGGAAGAUCUAGUGGCGAACGGGUGAGUAACACGUGAGAAACCUGCCCUGGAGUGGGGAAUAACUCGGGGAAACUCGAGCUAAUACCGCAUACCCUCGGAUGGUCGCAUGGCCGACCGAGGAAAGAUUUAUCGCUCUAGGAGGGUCUCGCGGCCUAUCAGCUAGUUGGUGGGGUAACGGCCUACCAAGGCAACGACGGUAGCUGGUUUGAGAGAACGAUCAGCCACACUGGGACUGAGACACGGCCCAGACUCCUACGGGAGGCAGCAGUGGGGAAUCUUGCGCAAUGGGCGAAAGCCUGACGCAGCAACGCCGCGUGCGGGAUGACGGCCUUCGUGGUUGUAAACCGCUUUCAGCAGGGACGAAAAUGACGGUACCUGCAGAAGAAGACCCCGGCUAACUACGUGCCAGCA
Molecule: ribosomal RNA, 474 nt
Filed under: uncultured bacterium
Lineage: Bacteria
Description: bacterial SSU rRNA
Rfam family: Bacterial small subunit ribosomal RNA
Source: RNAcentral